GAGGGAGUCCCUCCCUCUAAAAGCACUCUGUGUGGGGAACAUGAGAGCCAGACCAAAGCUCAGAGGAACCAACGAGGAACUAAACGCAAACAUGAACCUGAACCCAGCUGUGUGUCCUUAAAGAGUGACGCAUCUAAAGAUGAAGCCAUUAAAUUUAAAGUCCAGCCUGUGUCUGCUGCAGAGAGGAUCUUUGGUGGACCUGCUGAACCUGAACCUGGACCCAACUGUGUUUCCUUAAAGAGUGACGCAUCUAAAAAUGAAGCUAUUAAAUUUAAUGUCCAGCUGGCAUCUGCUGCAGGCAGGUGAGCUGUUAGUAACAUGAACUCUUUGAAAGGUGAUUUAUCUGCUUGAUGUUGUCAAUAUAAACUGGUCCCAUUUAAAAGUGUCUCUUAAAAACAAGCCUUUGGUUUCUAAACAACGGUAUAUCCACUUCAGCAACAGGAAGUGAUGCCCGGGCUCAUGCUGUCUUCCAUCAGUUAUGUUGUGCUG
Long non-coding RNA from Oreochromis niloticus (Nile tilapia), 489 nucleotides. RefSeq lists it as uncharacterized. The record is from RefSeq and is a predicted model, not a curated record. The transcript has 3 exons. Lineage: Eukaryota; Metazoa; Chordata; Actinopteri; Cichliformes; Cichlidae.